UCACACUUAGGUGGCAAUUGUCUACAAAACAAAGAAGCUUAAUUUUUUUCUCCAUGCUUAGCAACAAACCUCAAGAUGGUUUCUUAUGUCAUCACCACCAUGAUAUGAGUAUAUGUGCACAAUGUGUUUGGAAUAAGCAACACCUAAAGAGAACACCAUAAAGCAUUAGUAAUAUCAGCAUGUGAACACUUAUUCCUAAAAAUACUGCAAAGAAGUCUGGCUCUCGGCAUCAAUUAGCAAGUAUUUACAUACCAAAAAGGGUUCCGUCGGGACACCACAUUACACGGUUGACUGAUGCUCUAUAAUCAUUGGCCAGAGAUGCCUACAAAGAAUCAAAACCCACAAUCACAUGGCCAAAAAUAGAAUAGCUUGAUUUUAUUUAGAGUUGAACUUCUAUACCUGCAGCGUCCUUGAACAUGAUCCUAGAUCCCGAACCUUGAAAUUUCUUAGAAAAAUCCUUGCACGGCUGCCCACCUCCCAUACCAUAACAUCACCCAUAUUUGUUCCCACUAAAAUUGUUUAUGCAGAAAAGAUGAAGAAUCACACCCCAUGGUUUCAAUUAGCUAAAACUACUAUCAAAAGGACAACGAAAAGCAAUCUUCCAAUCAUUGGAAAACAAUGUUAUGCCCUAAAAGGGGAAACAAGUAUGUCAACUGAAGAAAAGUAGGAACAUGUUUUUUAUAGAGUAAAAAAAAUGUGCUAACCGAGCAGCAGAAUUUGUUGUUCCGGAUGGAAAUCCAUGCUCUUAAUAGGUGAACCUUGAUUUGGGGUGCUCAUGACUACAUUUUUGGGCAAGUCAUCUGAAGAAUAUGAACUCUGACCAUGGCUCUGGUUUUUGUAUGUGACAGGUAGAAUCUUUACCGGCAAAUUAUUCACCUAAUAGAAAGUCAUAAAGAUUACAAAACCAGUGAGUCUGAUAGGAAAUUUAUGAAAGCCAUGACCCUCCAAAGGUGCAAAAGUCAUAUGAGAGGCCCUGUUUUACUAGCAUGCAUGACCACAAUCCAUGCAUGCUGGAAGAAGAUGUAACUCACACCUACCUAGUUCCCGCUCUUUAUUAAUGUUGCCAAUAAACUGACAUGUACCAUUUACAUGCCAAUACCAAACAUGAAAUAUAGAGACAUGGCCCAAUAUGACAUCACAAUACGAUCAACCAGUGUAUUGACAAGAUGCUUACAUACCUUAGACUAAUUCAUUGGCUUGACAUGUUUGAUUAAUGUUUUUACGUUACCAUGAAUUAACACAAUCACAAAAACAAUUAAGACACGCGGACACAACUUGCCAAUCUUAGCCCUUUUACACCUUUUUCUCUCUCAACAAUUCUUGUAAUCCUCCCAAUCCUUAGUUGACUCCAAAUGGGUUUUUAAAAUUUAUAUAUUCAUUUUCCAGUGAAUGACAAUCAUUAGGUUAUCAUCAUAAAAGUUCAGGGUAUUUAGGAACCUCAAAACUAUAAAUUUCUCCUGAAGAUUCUCAAUGUAUGAUCUUAUGUUGUAAUAGUACCAAAGUGAAAGAGCUUCAGAAGGUUUUCAUUCAAUGGCAUGCGUUAAAUAUCAUUAAGAAAUAGAAAUGCGAAAGAAGGGGCGACAAACUUCAGCUCCACUUUAUAAGUCUGAUGAAUGUUGAGAAAAGCAUUCCGGACAUAUCAGAUUGUUAAUCGCCCAACAAAAAACUUUUUGGGCACACGGCCAGCAGGGAGAAAGAGGGGCGAAUGGGUUCUUAGAACGAUUUCGGUAAAAGGUUGGUUCUGGGGAGAGCAUCUUUGGACACUUAAAAAAGGCAGAUACUGGAGAGAGCAUGAACUAUGACCUGGGGAAAUACCCCGAGGCAGUGAAAUCUACCCUCUGCAGCAUCCCUCAAAACUUGAAUCAAGUGCGGCGGAGGAAAGCCGGCUUAGCAUUUAAUGCUCAAAGUUCCACCGGGGGAGAGACAUGGCAUGUACUACCUUUCGGGUUGAUCUGAACCGGUUGCGCCUAGUGGUCGUGCUAGGCCCAGCACCAUUUUUAACAGGAGGAGGAGUACCCCACUUUCCUUUAGAUCCCAAUGGCUCAAGCAUAUAGACACUGCCAUCAGUAAGCCCUAGUGCAAACUUGUUAGGUUCCCAUGGAUGUGCUGCAAUGACUAGCGGGUAUACUCUCAAGCUGCAAAAUACAUUAGUGAGGAAUGAAUGAGACUAUUGGAACUUUGCAGAGAUACAGACACCUGGAGUACCAAAAUUUGGCACGGAGGGACAUUUAGUGUCAAACGUUUGGAAAAUGAUACUUAAGUGUCAAAAUCGGAGCAAAAUAAAUCACUUAAGUGCCAAUCCAGCCAAAAUCUGGCUAAAAUACCGACGUGGCGAUUUUUCGGCGAAGCAAGUGUAAAACGGCGUUGUUUUGCACGCUGAUGUGGCUAGCCAAUACAAAAACGACAUUGUUUAAGUGCUGACGUGGUAAAAAAAUUAAUUAAAUUAAUAUAAAAAUUAAUUAAAUUAAAUUUAAAAUUAAAUUUAUUUAAAAAUUUUAAAAAUAAAAUAAAAAUAUUAAAAAACUAAAAUUUAAAUAAAAAAGUGGGGGGGGGAGGGGCAAGCGGCUGAGGGCUGAUCCCUCAUCGCCGCCACCUCCCUGCUGCCGUUGGAAGGGCCCCUUUUUUAAAAAAAUUAAAUUUUUAGCUUUCUAAAUAUUUUUAUUUUAUUUUUAAUUGUUUUAAAUAAAUUUAAUUUUAAAUUUAAUUUUAUUAAUUUUUAUAUUAAUUUUUUUUACCACGUUAGCAUGCAAAACGGCGUCGUUUCGCACUUCCUUCGCCGGAAAAUCGCCACGUUGGCAUUUUGGCCGGAUUUGAGCUAGAGUGAUACUUAAGUGAUCCAUUUUGCUCCGAUUUUGGUAUUUAAGUGUCACUUUCCAAACUUUUGGCACUUAAGUGUCCCAUCGUGCCAAGUUUUGGCACUUGGGCUGUACUUCUGCCGAACUUUGCAAAUGAGACUUGCAAUUUUCAUAAAAGAAUUAGGUCACACAGCAAUAACCAAUUUACCUGGGGUUUGCAGGGAUAUAAGCGGUAGGAUUUAUGCAACAUCUCAAUCUGAAUGUAGAAGUAGUAAGAACACCAAUGCUUCCGUCUUCAAAGCUCACAUAUAUUGAUUGGCCAUUGCAUGAAAAUGUAGCAUCUGUGAUUGGACUGCUAGCUUCUCUAGUAACCCACUAGUUUCGAUGAACAACGAAUUAAAAAAAAAAAAAAAACAUUUGGCAUGAAGCAACUCAUACUGCCUAAUAUUUUGCUAGUUUUUAUGCAAUCAGGAUGAAAGAAGAGAUUGGUUUGUGCAUAACAAAAAAAGUCUUCAAUACCUGGUGGAGGCAUUCAAGGUCAGGAGCUUCAUAUGUGGCGAUCUGUGUUUUAUGAACCACCAGCAGAUGUAUCUGAUCCACGUGAAAUUGAACACGAGUAUCAGCAGGAGGAGCUGCACCUCGCCCAGGCAGCAUCUGCAGAAACUUACUAGCCCGCUUCUCCAGUCCAUCAGUGCUCCAAACACACAACUGCAGUGAUCAUAGAUAUCCAUCAAGGUGAAAUCAACAAUGAUGCACAAAUGAAGAUAAAUUCUACAUUGUGUUUUUAUAUUAGAAUCACGCUGAUCUAUCUGUUGUAAGCAACAACAGGACAUCAUAGCUUCUUUUUUUCAUACUUAAUGGGAUGAGAUUAAUUUGCCAACAUGAAAGAUGAAGUUUUUUGGAAGGAUUUAUCCUGCCAUUAAAGGAUGCCUUCAUGACCAUGCUGAGGACAUAGGCAUCAAUAUAUCCAGAGUGAACAUCAACCCUUUUUUUGGAGCACGCUCUCUCUUCCCAAAACUUAUGCAUGUUUAGUUGGAAGGUAAGAUGUAGCAGAGGUCUAUAACCUGAGAGUCAGCACCAGAAGACACCAGAACAUUUAGGACACCAGAGAAGGCAAGGCCCGUAAUUCUUUCCUGAUGUCCUCCUGGUAUAGCCUUGAACCAAGAAAAUGAAACAGUCAAUAUCCCUUAACUUUGUCGUAGAAAACAAGGUUAACUUUCAACGACAAUGAAAAUAGGUUCUGGGAUUAUUGUAAAUUCGAAUAGAGGAGUCCUCCAUUCCAAUUGCAAUAAUGGUUUUGUCCUGAGGAUGGAACGCCGAAAAUGUUGUUGGUGAUGGUGUGUGUAGAAAUGCUGUCGUCGUAUGGAUAUCAGCAGGCAAGAUAGUAUUAACAACUUUACAAGUAAAAGUGGGCCAUAUGUGCCAAGAGGCACUUGCCUCAAUGGCAUCUCCCUUCUUCGGAAAGGGAGAGAGCAAUUCAACCAUCACAUCUCUGGAUGGAUGAAAAAAACUCUUAACCUUCUUUUCUUUAAUCAGUAAGAGCAAAAAGAUUCCACUGGAACAGAGAAAAGCCCUUGUCUCACUUAGGAAGCGAAGGAUAUAUACUGCACUUGUGACUCUACUGCGUAAUUCACAUAAAAAUCAGAGUAAUUGCUUUCGUGGACCUCCUAAAAAUAGAGUUUAAUUAUUUCCAUACAUGAUAGAAUUAAUCAAUUUUAGCUCCCAUAAGAAUGUGAAAAGGAAAUAGUGCAGGCAUAUUAAGUACAAAGGAGUAGUUCAUCAUCUCGUGCCUUGUGGACAGUGCUACUAGAAAAUGACAAGAAGAUAUGAACAUGCCUUUGCGAAAUGAUCCGCUGCAGAAGAGAUAUCGGACCAAAGGAUCGUCCCCCUUGAUGCUGACAAUAGAUCGUUCAUUGACAGUGCAGAGCAUGGAACUGCAUCUUCAGGAUUUGUAUCACUUGUGUCAUUGGUCAUCCAAUUCCAAGCAGGAGGUUGCCGCAACUCUAUUUUUACACUAAUCGUGGCCUGCAAAAAGAAGAAUCAAUUUAGUUAACGGCGCGCUAAACAGUAAAACAGUUUGCCAAUUUCAAGGAAAAAAAGAAGAUUCCUUACCCUGCCUUCUAAGUUUGCAUUUUCUUUUUGCCAUUCCCAGAGCUUGUGUACACCAUUCGAUAAUAAUGCCUGAAUGGCAUGACCUGAGUUUGAAUAGGUUAAUCUCGAGACCUGCUUCAUUUUAUCAGCUUCAGUGGUGACAGUUAAAUAUAAUACCAAAAGUUAAAAGAAAAGGCAAAAGAAAGAGCUCAAAGAACCGGCCAUUAAAUGAUAGAUACAUAAAUUCAUGUAAAGAGACACUUGGUGACGCCAUAUAUAUAUAUAUAUAUAGAGAGAGAGAGAGAGAGAGAGAGAGAGAGAGAGAGAACAGAGUAUAUGAUACACUUGACACCAAAACCCAGUUGAAACAGUUACCAAAAGAAAACUAGAACCGCUUAAACCGUCUAGCUGUAUAUCCCUAGAACCAAGAGAACUCUGUGCGGUUUUCGUGCAAAAAUACAGUGCCUUCAUCCAUGCUACUCUGUUCUGGGAAUGCCUAUCCUUUUACCUCUAGUAUUCGUGUGCUUAGAUUCAACAGGCAAUUUUCCCCUCAAAUUUUCCGGGAAUUGACAAGCUCAAAAUAGCUCAAUUCAUAAGCUCAGCAUUCCGGACAAGCAUCCAAGUGGUGCACAAUGAUAUACUUUGCCUGCCAUGUUUAAAGCCAAAUUCAUCUCGUGAAGAAUCUGUGCCUUCUACCACAUGUAACUGCAUGAGAUUCUACAUUCUAAAUCAAGCAUCGUUUGUCUCGCUAUUCAUCGUUAUCAUGAAAUUCAUGACCUCCAUGGCCAAUGAAACUCAAGCACAAUUGCCACACCAUAAUCACAGAUUUAUUAAUGUUGAUCUUAUCCUUUUUCCUAUUCGUAUAGUUGAAACAAUCAAUUAACAUUAAAAGGCCAAAUGAGGAGAUGACAAAGCCUUCCAGGCGUUGAGGCUUAAGAGAUAAUUAAUUGGACCACAAGUGAAUGAAACAAAUAAAGCAAGUGCUUAAAAUGCGACCCAUAUUCAAAUUUGUACUUAUCUAGUAGAAACAUGACAGUUUAAUGCGGAAAAGAAAUGCUACAUAAGAAAAUCCUAAUUUGGCGAUCAUUUGUACCUUCGUAGCCGUUAAGAUAUCAGGCAAUCUUAUAGACCGGCAUUGUAAUGGUUCAUUGAUUUCUGUUAGUUUCCAAAUUCGUGAUUUGCCUCGUGACUUAUCAGCAAUUCUGGGCUUCACAUCGGCCAUGCUCUCACUGUCCUGUAAAGCUCAAAAGAGAGUAUGUCAUUGAAAGACGUCCAAUAAACAUGCACUUACAAAUGCAAAUAUUACAUCAUUUAAGUAACGGAUUAAGCAACAAAUAAAGCUCCUUAAAAACAUUUAACUACCUAAUGCAGUAAAGAUACCACUUACCAGACCUGCCAUUGCUGCCACUGGAGCACCUUUAUUACCCAUGGUUGCCCCAGCAGUAGCAUUACCAGAACCAAAUAUUGUGAUUGCUGAUGGCUACAUAAGAUUCAAGACAUUUAGUAAGCUCAUCUCUAUGAAAGUUAAUCAAAACUAGAGAUUACAUUCAUGAUGGGAGAAGAUGUAAUCAAAAUGCAUCUUUUGAGUGCCAUGGCUUUGAUUAAUUUUCUACAGGACUCACUGAUUUUGAUUUAUUUUCUAUAGGACUCCCCUAAUAGAAAGUCAUAAAGAUCACAAAACCAGUGAGUCCUAUAGAAAAUCAAUCAAAGACACGGCACUCAAAGGAUGCAAAACCCAUAUGAGAGCCUCUCUUUUACUAGCAUACAUGAGCAUAAUGCAUGCAUGAUGGGAGAAGAUGAGACUCACACGUCACACCUAUUCAGUUCCUGCUCCUCAUGUUGCCAAUAUUACAUGAUAAUACCAAACACGAAAAAUAGAGACACAAACCAAUAUGACACAUCACAAUACGUCUAACCAGUUUACUGACAAGAUAUUUUCAAGUUUUUGUCUUAAUUAAUGGUUGGCAUGCUUAAUAGAAGUUAUCAUGAAUUGACACAAUCACGAACACAUUUAAGACAAGUAGACAUGAAUUGACAACCUUAGCUCUUUUGCUACUUUUCUCUCCAUCAGACUUUUUUUGUAAUCCUUCUAAUCCUCAAUUAGUUCACUUUCCAGCAUAAAAUUAAGGAUAUUAGAAACCUCAAAACUGAAAGUUUCUCCAAAAGAUUCUUAAUGCAUGAUCAUAUGCCGCAAUAGCACCGAAGUGAGAGCGUUUUCAAAAGGUUUUCUUUUAAUGGCAUCGCUUGAAAGAUAAUUAAGAAAUAGAAUGCAAAAGAAGGCGCAACAUAUUCCAGUCCACUUUACAAUUUAAGAAAUCUGAAAAUCCCGACUUUCAUGAACAGAGGACUUAAAGUAGCGAGAAGUACAUGCGAAUGUUGAGAAAAGCAUUCCAUACAUAACAGAUAAUUGAUACUAUUCUUUGUAGAUGGAACCAUCCGGUAAAAACUGAAGAAUGAUAAAGAAAAACAAGAUGAAAUAAGUACUUCAUCUGAGAUUCCGAAAGGUCUCGAUCUCUUCAAAACAAGUUCAGAAUUUGUUGUUUGGUGGUACAUGGUUGAGUUGUUGGCAGUAGUUGUCUUGCGACGCUUUAAGGGACGCUUUAGGAGAUCUGUGUCGCAAGACAAAAAGUAAAUAGAAUGUCACACAAAUAGCUUGAACUUGUGGAAACUAAAAAAUCAAGUUUCACAGCUUUUCCACUAUGUGUUAAAGAAAGGUUUGGGAGACAUUCGAGCCAACCAGAAAGAGUGAGUUUCUUAAGAAAGGUUAGUUGCCAAAGAUUCGGCAAUUGCGGGAUCUGGUAGGUGACAUCUAAAUGAAGAUUGUCUCACAAAACUAGUUCACCUGUAUUACUUUGUAAUCCUUGUGGAUUUUUCCCCCCCGAAGCUCUCAAGUCUUGGAGUUCUGCCAAUAUUCCCCUAUCAUCAAGCAAUUUUGUUAUGUUAAUUCUCCUAUUGUUCAACAUCCGCAAGUUUUGCAUAUUUCUAAUGCCUUCACGUAAUUCCAUAAUCACUGUAGAACUAAAAUACAGCUUCGUUGAUGACAACUUCCCAAUCGAGUUUGGGAUUUCUCUCAAUGAGUGGCAUCUCAAUAAUAACAAGCGCCGCAAAGACAUGAGAGAGCCCAUGGAGUCUGGAAGUUGAGCAAGUUUGUCACAUUCUGUUAGGUCAAGAAGAGAGAGAGAUGCUAGAUCGCCUAUGGAGCUAGGUAUGUGGGCUAAUGAUGCACAACAUGAGACAUCAAGUGUCUUGAGCUUUCUCAGAGAACCAAUUGAUUUGGGUAAUUCUUCAAUCGCUGUAGAUUUUAAGUGCAGUUCAGUCAAUGAUUCUAAUUGUCCAAUUGAGUCUGGGAUUGCUCCCAAUGAGCUGCAUCUUGAUAAUAGCAAGCAUUGCAACAACAUAAGAGAGCCUAUGGAGCCUGGAAGUUGAGCAAGCUUGUUACAUCCUGUUAGGCCAAGAAGCGAUAGAGAUGCUAGAUCGCCUAUGGAGCUGGGUAUGUAGGCUAAUGAUGCACAAUAGGAGACAUCAAGUGUCCUGAGCUUCUUUAGAGAACCAAUUGAUUUGGGUAAUUCUUCAAUCGCUGUAUAUUUUAAGUGCAGUUUAGUCAAUGAUUCUAAUUGUCCAAUUGAAUCUGGGAUUGCUCCCAAUGAGUUGCAUCUUGAUAAUAGCAGGCAUUGCAACGACACGAGAGAGCCUAUGGAGCUUGGAAGUUGAGCAAGCUUGUCGCAUCCUGUUAGGUUAAGAAGUGAUAGAGAUGCUAGAUCGCCUAUGGAGCUGGGUAUGUGGGUUACUGAUGCACAAUGGGAGACACCAAGUCUCCUGAGCUUCUUCAGAGAACCAAUUGAUUUGGGUAAUUCUUCAAUCGCUGUAUAUUCUAAGUACAGUUCAGUUAAUGAUUCUAAUUGUCCAAUUGAGUUUGGGAUUGCUCCCAAUGAGCUGCACACUGAUAAUAGCAAGCAUUGCAACGACACGAGAGAGCCUAUGGAGCUUGGAAGUUGAGCAAGCUUAUAGCAUGCUGUUAGGUUAAGAAGUGACAGAGAUGCUAGAUCACCUAUGGAGCUGGGUAUGUGGGCUAAUGAUUUACAAUCGGAGGCAUCAAGUAUCCUAAGCUUCUUCAGAGAGCCAAUUGAUUUGGGUAAUUCUUUAAUCUCUAUAGAUUUUAAGUGCAGUUCAAUCAAUGAUUCUAAUUGUCCAAUUGAGUGUGGGAUUGCUCCCAAUGAUUUGCAUUCUGAUAAUAGCAAGCACUGCAAUGACAUGAGAGAGCCUAUGGAGCCUGGAAGUUGAGCAAGCUUGUAGCAUCCUGUUAGGUUAAGAAGUGACAGAGAUGCUAGAUCGCCUAUGGAGUUGGGUAUGUGGGCUAAUAAUUUACAAUAGGAGGCAUCAAGUAUCCUGAGCUUCUUCAGAGAACCAAUUGAUUCAGGUAAUUCUUCAAUUCUUGUGUAAAGUAGGUCUAGCUCAGUUAAUGACACAAGGGAGGCUAAGGAUUUUGGAAGUUGAGUAAGUAGUUGACAAUUUGAGGCAUCUAGAGUCUCCAACUUCGUCAAACAACCUCUUGAAAUAGGAAUCUCUUGUAUCUUAGUGUUCUUUAUUCGAAGCUCCCUCAAUUUUUCCAUUCUGCCUACUCCUCGAGGUAAUUCCUCCAAUUUCUCACAACUUCCGACAUUCAAGGAGACGAGAGUCUUGACACCCUCGACAGAAGGAUGAAUUUCUUCUAGAUGUACACAACAUUCAAGAUUCAAAAUCUCCAAGCUCUUGAAAGCAGACAAGUCCGGGAUUGUUCUCAAAGCACAACACUCAAGAUUGAGAACUUUGAGUUCGGUUGCCAUCUGAAAGAAAGAGAAGAUACCACCAUCAGAUUGGACAAAAUUACCAAUGCUCCAUUGCUCCUUCACAGUUGUUUUAUUUAAUUUUAAUGGUCCUUUUCAGUAGUAUUAUGGCUAACCAACGUAUAAAUGUUUUAAAGCAUAUCAUUGCAAAGAGAAUGUUAGAGAUGUAUAAGUGCUAACCAGAAUUAUUUGCGAAUAACAUUUGAUAGAAAAUAUCAUAUUUAGUUUUUCGAAGUUAUGGUGAUGCUGUUAUUUAUUGAUUAGAGAUAUCCAAAGUUUAUUAUAAAAAAUAAAUGGCUACUUUAUUUAUGGAAAAAUAGUAUGUACAAGAUAUAAAAAAAGGUUAUAAAUAUUUAAAUGCAAUGGGAAGGAUAAUUUAAUUUCUCAUAUAAAAUUACUACAUUAUAAUUGUGUUGUACGGUGACUUCCACAAUAAAAAUUAUAAUAAAUAAAUAUUGUGUGCAACAAGUCCGAGUAGUUCAUAAAUUAUUCCCAUUACUCUAAAAGUAACAAUGAAUUUAAAAUUUUAGUAUGUAUGUAAAAAAAAGUCACUGCAAGGAAGUUUUUUUUUUUUUUUUCCUUCAUGAAAGAAGAUCCAUAAAUAUAUAUAACAAGAAUUGCUAAAAAGACAUUUUUGCAUGGGGAGAAAUUAACUAGAAGCCAUAACAAUUUAGAUUAAAGUUAAGUUGGCCCAGGAUUGAUAGCUAUUAAUUAAUAUAGUUAAAAAUAAUUAGUAUGUCUGAUGGUAAGCAUGACUAGUUGUUAAGAUAUUAAGGGGCAGAAGCUUCUAGCAUAUUUAAGUGCCUAAAAUUCCACUUAUGCUUAGAGGAAAAUCCAUAAUACGAGGAUAGAUUUUCAGAAGAAAUAAAGGCGAACUUGGUGCAAUUAGACUCAUUGACAACAUGUCAUUAUUUGUAGGAGAUAUGCCUUAUCCGCGUCUUACCUUUAGUGGAUCCCAUCCUCCCCAAUCCUCCCUAAUCUUACCACCCGAUAGAUCAAGAACGAUUAACUUCUUCGGGCGAAAGAUGGCUGCUUCAAGAUCCAAGCAACAGCUUGUCCAUUCAAGCCAUCUUAAUUUAGGAAGCAAGUUCUGAAAAUCUCCAGUGAGAUUCGCACCAUUCGUUUGAAGGAACCUCAAGUUAGUCAAGUUUUUAAAUCUUUCAGCUGUGUAGGUUUCUCCCAUAGGAAGACAAAGGGCCUCAAUCUCACUAGUGCCCUGCAAUUAGGAAACGUUAUAAAUCGUAAUGUUGAAUGAUGGGAUGAGAUCAACUGUAUAUAAGAAAAGAUGUUUUGACUUCAAAUUUGUUGUCAUACUAUUCUUAUGUAGUUCUCACCUUUGACUUCAUGACAUGACAAGUUAUGGUUGCAUAUUAUUUAUCUAAUCUAUGUAAAAGUUUGAAGCUCGAGAGGUGUUCUCCCGAAUUUUCCUCUUCCAAUUAUGCUGUUCACAAUUUGCACCUUUUAAAUACCCAAAAGGCACAUCCUUUGAAAAUUACAAUAGAAGGCAUCUCUUCAUGCAGACACUACUUCAAAUAUAUCUAUCAAAUCUCAUGCCCUUUUAUCUAGGAAACAACAAAAUCCUAACUCAUAUAUUUUAUAUGUGAAACAACACGGCUGUUGCAGUUCGAACACAUCUAUUAAACUUGCCAUCAUAACAUGUAUUAAUACUAAAGAAUUCCAAUUGUAGAAUCCCCCUCUUUUUCUUAUGUAUCAUCUUUGCAAUUCUCUAUGGCAAAAUGAAAAAGAGAAUUCCAUCCCAAGAAGUACGAACGUGUUUUACAUUCCUUUCUUAUGAUGUGUUUUGUUUCUUCAAUGAGUGUUUUUCAUUAUAUGUGGAAGAAAACAUAUACCAAAUGUUAUAUAAAUGGUUUUUUACAUCUCUUUUUAUUACUACAAAUGUUUGAUGCUAUCUUUUCAUUUUGUAUUGAUUUUGUUACACCAAAAUAGCAGUGAUCUAAUUUUUUGAUCAAUUUUCCCAUGGAUUAAUAAUAUCUUGCUAACAGACAUAUUGGACAUGAAGAUUAAUUACAUUAUGUUAAUAUUAAUUCUGUGCGAGCAUGUGGCUGUGAAGUUGUUUAGUUUUAUUACUUAUUAUCAUUCUUUUAAAAAUUUCUGCAAAGGUUGUAAGUGUAAAGCUAUUUUAUCACUCAGAUAUAAACUUCGAGGCUCUGUAUAAAAAACAGGUCAUGUAUGUAUAGUUAAAAUAUUUAACUUCCAAGUUUAAUAAGUAUCAUGUUAAAAAUUUGGGUUAAUAUUACGAAAACCUCAAACUGGUACAUUUGUGACAAGUUUACUCCAAGCUAAUUUUUGGGUCAUCAAAAACUCCAAACUGAUACAUCUAUAAUAAAUUUACCCAUAAAUUAAUAUUUGUGUUACCAAAAAUCCCCAACUAAUACGCUCAUAACAUAUUUACCAUCUAUUAACUUCUAUCAAAUUUUACCGUAAAAUUACUGAGCUGAAUGGCACAUGGCAAUAACUCAAUUGACAUUGAAAAUUUAUAUUAGUUUUGGUUAAAUUUACAACAAGCAUAUCGGUUUGGGGGUUUUUGAUAACAUAAAAAUUAGUUUAGGGUAAAUUUGUAACGAAUGCACCAAUUUGGGGUUCUUUUAUAGCCUAAAAAUUAGUUUGGGAAAAAUUUGCCAUAUAUGUACUAGUUUAAGGUUUUUCGUGAUAUUAAUCCUAAAAAUUUUAGUUUUGAUAGUACUUCAACAUUAAAUUUUUAUAAUUAUGGGAUUGAAGAUGUAUUUUUUUUUUAAUAUAUAUUUUGUUGAAAAUGCAUGGUUCUCAAAUUGUAUUAUAAAAGUAUUGUUAAUAGCAUAUUAUUGCAAGUAUAUAUUCCUAUAGAACUAUAAUGUAACGUUGUAAACAAAUCUAUAAUCUCACCUCUAAAAAUUCUUGUAUACACUUUUCACAGAAUUCGAGACUUGGGAAUUAAUUUUUUAAUAUAUCUAUGUAUACAUAGAUAUCGUAAUAACUAUUCUUCCAUAACAUUGUCGGGAUCAUGAAUAUUUGUUGAAAAGUGUUCAUUACUCAUCUAAACGAAGUCAUUUAGGUUUGUGGCCUCUGCUCUUGACCAUACACUAUUUUUUUAAUGAUAAAAAUAGGAUCGCCAAAAUAAUAUAUUGCUAAUAUUAUUUACUUAAUUUAAAUAGUACGGUUAUAUUAAACGACGUAGACAAGUAGAGCUUCCCUCUCAUUAACGAACAAGUCUAUUCAAAGUAUUACAUUUAAGAAUGCAUCACUUUUCAAAUUUUUUAAUGAUUUGCUAGGCUCCUUUGAUUUUUCAUACCUUUUUUUUAAAUUAUUAUUCUACAAACAUUUCUCUUAUUCUCGAAUUCAAAACAGAAGUACCCAUCGAUUAGUGUCAUUGACUUUAUUAUUGCACGAAAAGACAUUUCUCUUCGAAAAAUGACAUUUAACAAAUAGUAAAUUAUUUAUAUUUGGGAGAAGUAUAAAAAAAGCUCUAAACCUAUUGCAUUAGUAUCAAUUUAAUUCUAAAAUUUUUAAUGAAAAAAAUUUAAUCCUAAAGCUUUUUACAUUAGUACCAAUUUAAUCCAUCAAGUAAUUUAGACCGGAAAACCCUUUUAACUGAAAAUCCUUUACAUUUUUCCAAAGGCUUUUCUCAAAAAUCUAACCAAAUACACCCAUAAUUUGUAACUCGUGUCAUUUUUGUCCUACAAGUGAAAGGUUGAGAUUUUCUCUGGGAUGCUUGAAAAAAUGUGUUAUUUUCAUCCUGCAUGCAAAAGAUUGGGCUUCUUUUUAGGAUUUUUUUAAGGUUGCAUUAUUUUUGUUCCUAAUUCAAAAGUUUGUGCCCUUUUUUUUUUUUUUUUGGUUGUAUACUUACUAAUAUCCAAGGAGUGUGUUAUCAAUGUGUUUCAAUAAUGUUUUAAAUGUCUUUCGUUUUUUGUUUAUUUAUAAGUCGUCCUAGUGCUCUUGUCCAUGCGUCGCACUUCUUUUUUUCUUUUUUUCUUUUUUAUCAAAGUUGAUUGUACUUUUAGAUAACACAUGAAGAUACUUUUAUAUAUUUUGAUUAAUUGUAGGAGUAAAAAAAAGAAGAUCUUGUAUCAGUUUCUUCAAAGCCUCUUUGAUUUCGACUCAACGAACCCAACAAAAUUACUGAAAUAAUUACGUCAAAUAAUGUACCUUUUUAGUUGUAAAAGUUAGUUAUAACAAUUUAUUUUGAUAAAAAAAAAUAGAGCAUAUUCAUUUUUCUUUUGGCUAGUUAAGUUUAUUUUAUGAUGUAACACAAAAGACAUAAUAGAUAGUCAUUAGCUUUGAAAUUGCUAAUAUAUCAAUUGGCUCUUAACAUAAUACAUAGGUUGCAUGAAAUACGCCUAACGUUAUGCAUGUCUAUAUAUGUUCUUGUUCUAUCAUGCGAAUUUUGGUAAAAGAAGUAAUUCCUAACCUAAUAUAACAUAAAAUAAAUUACCCUUCCAUUCUCAAUUUGGGAAUAAUGAUUGAGAUUGCAUGAAAAAUGCGGGCACGGUUACUCCAAUUGUUUUAAUUCUAACACCUGGAGAAUAGAAUUCUAUGAUUUACACAUCCUAAGUAGUAAUUGUUCACAGCAGAAAGGUCCAAUUAUUUGUUGCACGUGUCAAGGCCACAACCAAAUCAAUUAUAUAAAUCCAAAUCUUUUCAAUGUAGAAUACCCCUAUUAAGUUUCUAAUAAAUUUGAAAGUACCUCGUUCUUGGAAAAAACUUUGUAAUGUGCGCUUAUCUAAGAUAAAUAUCAGAUAAAGCUGCACUACUCACUAAGAGAGAGCAACCUCCUAAUUGCUAUCAUGUCAAUGAAACGACACGAGGACAAUAAUAGUUUCACUGCUCACUAGAGCAAGCACUAAGUAGAGGACCAACAUUACUUUGACAGUAGAACAUGAACUAAGGGAGCAAAAGAAAAAGAAUCAGUUACCUUAUUUUCCUCUAGCAUGUUCAAUACUUCCUCGGAGUCCCAUAACCUGCUGCGAUUCUGAGGCUCCUUGUCUUCUUGGCGAAUGAUUUCUCGACCUAGAUCUCGCAAUUGGUCAUGCAUUCUAAGCUCAUGAUUCUCUCCAACUUUUAUUAAUGACAUUAAUCUCAAUACUACAAUGGCCUCAUUUGGGUAAAAGCCACAGGCGUCCCACAUGUAGGAUGCAACUCUCAAGUCAGAGCCAAUGAAAAAACAAGCGAUAUCCAAAAAUAUAUGUUGUUGUCCAUCCUCUAAUGCGUCGUAACUUAUUCUUAGCUGUUCUUGGACAGCCUUAGGAGGGACUUUUUCUAACUUUUUUAUUGUAUCCUCCCAUACCGCUAGCUCUUUAUUGCACAAAAAUGAACCUACAACCUCGAGAGAUAAGGGAAGUCCUCCAGUGGCGAGCACAGCCUUACGAGUAAGGUCCUCAAAUUCCCUUGGAGGAGCGUUUCUUCGAAAUGCAUGUUUACUGAACAAAAUCAAAGCGUUAUGCCCAUCCAUUUCCUCAUGUUCAUAUUGGGAAUCCACCUUAGCCUUGUCAAGAAUACCCUUGUUUCGGGUGGUAAUAAUGAUCAUACUUCCCGAAGAAAACCAAUUAUGAUUUCCAGCCAAAGCCUCCAAUUGAUGGUCAUCACCCACAUCGUCGAGAAAAAUGAGGACUUUCUUACCUUUAAGCUUGGAUGAGAGGAAAUUAAUCCCGUCAUCCUUAUUAUCAGCUAGAUUUUUCUGCCUUAAUGUAUCAUUGAGUAACUGGUUCUGUAAGUAAAGAAUGCCAUUCUUUUUACAUGAUUCCCUUACAUUAGCAAUGAAGCUACAGUACUCAAAUUGAUUGGAGAGUUCGUUGUAAAUGGUUUUAGCAAGGGUAGUCUUACCAAUGCCUCCCAUUCCAUGGAUGCCAACAAAUAGGGGAGCACCGGAAUUUUUAUCUACAGAUUCCAUAACUUUCUUCACAUGAUUAUCAAUUCCAACCAAAUUCUCAGGAAUAACUAACUCAAACUUUUUCUUCAGCUCAAACAACACUCGUCGGACCACCAAUUUAAUCAGUCCUACUUCUGACCUGUCAAAUGUGACAAUUUUUCAAAUACAUGGAAAUAGCAAUUUUAUAUUGUUUAACUAAUGAUAACACGACAAUAAACAAAUCAAAGGAUAAAUUGGAAAACUUAAAGAACUGUUUUUGCCACAACUCCAUAUAUUAUCUUAUACCCUAAGAUUGAAAGGGGAAAUGGCGGCGGUUGCAUCACAUGGCGUGCCCCGUUCCAUUAUUACUCUUGACUUUAUUGUGCCAGAAGAAACUUGAGGUCGUCGCUAGUGAAUAUUGAAUAUUAUAUGAAUUAUCGAUUUGAAUUAAAUUUUAAAUUCGUUGUUUGUUAAAGAUAUUAGGGAUGAUGAGGACGUGACAACGAAGACUUUCUAUAGCGUUUGAAUAGGCAAAAUCCAAUAAGCAAUCAUCAUAUCUACCAAUGACAUUUCUUUUCUAAGAAUAAUUUAUAGCAACCAAUUAACGACAUUAACAAUGUAACGAAUGUAACUUGGGAAGAUAAAGACUUAAGGCUUUGACAAUCGACAUGCACGGUACAUGAUGUUACGAGCUUUGAACAGGAACGACCGAUAAGUUUUACUAUUAACCUCAAAUAAAUAUGUACUUAGAAAUGUUUGUGAUGAAGAUUAAUGUAGCGUAUACUAUAAACUAGAAAAAAAAAAAAAAAGCACAAUGUUACAAAAUUUUUUAAUAUAAGAGUAAAAAUUCAUUCAUAAAAUCUUAUUAUUCAAGCGCAUGGGAUCCUAAUAAUAAAAUCUCCAAUUAGAUUGGUCAAUGUCAUUAGAAUAACUUAUAGAACUCAUGCAUCGCAGUAUGUUACUGCCAGCAAGAUCUUAUUGAUUUUUUAUAUAAAAAAAAAAGAACGAAAACGACGCAGGUGAGAAUCAGAACAGCCGUAAACACCCACACAAAUAAAAAGAAAGUAGAGAAUGUUUUGGUGAAAAAAUGAAGUACCCAUUUGCUUCCCAUCCUUUCAAGUCACCAACUUCUCUGAGUGCCUGGUUCCAUUUCUCCAAAAUUGUUGGGUGUAACCCCCUCUGACGCGAACGUUCUUUAUGCCCUUCAAAUGCCUUUCCAAAACUCCCAGAUUGAUAUCGCACGUUGGCUGGUGUCACUUUGUAGAAUAUAGGCAACACUAUAGUCCCCGAGUUAUUAUUCUUACACUUCAUUAUUUGAACCAAUUCAUUCAGGCACCAACUGCUGUCACCAUAAUUCUCGGAGAGAAUGGGGAUAUGGAUCUUACUGUUCUUGAUGGCCUCCAAAAGAUCAGGGCCGAUUUUGUCGCCUUCGUGGAUCUCCUCAUUGUCUAUAAAAGUAUGAAUUCCAGCAAUGCGGAGCUUAUCAUGGAGGUGAUCAGUGAAGUUAUUUCGAGUAUCUUUGCCUCUAAAGUUCAAGAAAACCUCAUAGCUAGCUGGCGUGGUUGAUGAACUAGAAGCAUUGUUAGUUUCUGUCAGAGACGAAUUAGAUCCGCUGGAAUUAAUUUCUGUUGGUGCGAUCAACGAACCAGAUCCACCAGUAUCAGCAUCUUGUGCAUUUCUACACACAGUGAGUUUGCGUUUCUUAAUGGGAAGAUGCAUUUCGUCUUUGCUCUGACUCUACCCUUGAUUUUGCUUUCAACUCUUGACGGAGAAGAAAAACCAGAAUGCCUCUCAGGAAACACGAAAUGCCUCGUUGUUACCCAUGGCCUGUUUAUUGGUUUGAAUUAUAUGAUGGAACCAAUCAGCAACUCACAACCAAUAUUUAAAAAUAAUAAUUUUUGUCCACGUCAGCGUUGGCAGUACCACGUGGGAUAGUCGGCGUCCACGUCAGUAAAUUCUAAUCAAAAUUGGCUGGAUGGACUUAAUUGGCUAAAUGUUGAACGGUUUAGGACUCAAUUAGUAAAGUUGAAAAAUUUAGGACUGAAUUGGCAAAAGUACAAUAUGUUUAGGACUUUUUGGACAAUUUUCCCCAUAAACACAGGUCAAAAUAGAUUCACCAACUUCGUGCUCCUACGUUUCAAUACGUAUAUAUUGUCGUUGAUGAAAUUCUUUAACACGUCUAAAAAUUCAUCUAACUUCUACGUGUCAAUUACCAAUCAUCCUUAGUAUUACAUAAUAGCAGACCCAAAUUUUAUUGCAGUCUGGAGGGAGAGACAUAGUUUUAAUUAAAUCGGUGUAGAGUGCCCCAUAUAGUUGUGCCGACCACCGACUGGAACGUGUCUACUUGUUCUAAUCUAAGUCAAUUUUAUGAUAGUACAUUUGCACAUCAGGCCAUCGCUAAUAAAAUUUUUGAUAAAAAAGUACGUGGAAUCAUAUUCAUGGAGAAAUAAGAUCUUCUCCACUGAGCAAUUUUAUAAAAUGCGUUUGGCUUGCCUGAAAAUUAUUAUAAGUACUAUUUUAUUAACGAUCACUUAUGCCACAAUAUUAUGUCACUAAUGCGUGUCAAGGAUCAUGUGUAUAUAUUCCCUCUCUUUUUUCUUUUUUUUUUCCAUUUUGUACCCGAGCACAAUUGCUCUAGUUCUUCCCUUUAUCCUUCACAUCCCAGAAGGAAAUCGAAAUGUCUCCUCUCUUUCGCUCCUAAUUUAUUCUUAAAAACAUCAAAAGGCAACGAAAGUAUUAUAUAGUGACAUUUUGUUAUCCCCAUAAGCGCCGCCAAAAAGUCUUCUUGCAAGUCUUGGUGUAAAUCAGAAAGCAGUAGUUUUAUUAGUCUUAGUUUGUGGGAAAAUUUUUGCAUCUAAAGUUUUUGGAUCUGAAUUGAUAGACUGUACUCACUUAUCCUAUAUACGAAAUGGACAUCCUAAAUUAAUUUAAUAAAGUUGAAAGUUCAAGACACUCUCCAAGAUAAUUAAGAUUCCAUGACAUUUUUUUACAAAAAUAAAAUAAAAUGAAAUAGAGUUAAAAGUUCAUGACAUUUUUAAUAACAAGUCAAAAGUUCAAAAUUCUCUCGAUUAUUAGGCUAAAUAGAUUUGGAAGGUUUACUUUUCCAAAAAUGACUUUUUAAAAGAACAUGAGAAUUGUCUUGAUUUUCAAUAUACGUUAUUAAAUUUAUUUAGUGGCUAAAUAUUAAAUUAUGAUUUGAUCAUAUCGCUUAAUAUAUAAAUUUUAGUGUAAUUAUUAUCAUUAUUUGUAAAUAAUCGUGACUUUUUUGUCAAACUACAAAUAAUGGAGAGCACAUGCUGUGAAAGUUUACAUCUUUUUUUUUUUUUAACAUAAUUGAAAAAAUUCCAAAUAUUACUAGCAGUUAUAAUAAAAUGCGUCAUUAAUUAGAAUCGGUGAAAGCAUGUCAUCAUUUGUAAAUGGUGGCCAGAAGAAUCAUUUAUCAAGCAAACUAUCCAAUUAUAUACCCUCAUUCACGGCCAAAGUGGCCCGGGGAAUCCAAGGAAAACUUUGUGAAGAAGCAAAGUGAUAAUGAAAAGGAAACGAAAGCGAAAAGGCAAAGAAAAAGAAGGUGGGUGAGUCAUCGUAAUGUGGAAAAGAAGACCCAUCGAUGCUUUUUGUGCUGUCGGCAAGAUUUUAGUCAAAAGACUCCCUCAACAUAAAAAAUGAUGACAAUGCUUUGCGGUGGCAAGAAAUUUUUCACUAUUGCUCCUUUGACCCCUUUUUUCCCGUGCUACAAGGAUUUUCUUUUCAUGGUUAAAUUUAUGAAAAUUCGUCACGUAAUCCUAUCACUCUUGUUUCGAAUACAAUUCAUCACUCCUUAAAAAAAAAAAAAAAAAAUGAACCUAAGCUCGAGCCCAAACAUUAACACGGCCCCUUAUUGCUAGCGGGCCCAGCCUAGCACGACCCCUAACUAUGAGGGGUCGUUCCGAGCUCGAGCCCAAGAGAGCCAGUCCGUGUGGGCUGACACGACUCAGUUACCAUGCUUAGGUAGGGGUUUGAUAAUAUACAUGUUAAGAAAAGCAAAAUGCUAGAGUUCAAAGUCUUUUGCAAAUUUGGCCUUUCGAAGCCAAAGAAGUCGAAAGGUAAUGCAUGGAUCUGACGAGUCAAAUUCAGAUCUUGAGGUAGAAAGGGAAUUUCAAUGUGCAAUUGCCGGUGUCGUAUAGAAACUGAUGUUUCGGUGUUGGUAAUGAACCAAAAAACCAUGAGAGGUGAAGUACUUCAGUAAAAUAUAUACAUAGAGAAAGAAUAAGAUAUUCUAGAAUUUGGUGGAGAAUUAACAAUGUUAGUUCUGAUCUUUGAGUCAACUUCUCGGUGGAAAAUCAGCAACAUUCCACAAUAAUGGCCAGCAAGCACGAUGACCUCCACUAUGAGUAGUUUUUCUAUACCUUUUUCAGACAUUCUCUCGGUUUGAUUAAUAGUCAUCACAAGACAGUCUUAGACAUUGGUAAACUAAGCCAAGGCAAUAGUUGAAGAUUAAAGAAUGUCGAUGAACACCGAUUGAGUUUAGUCUAAGGCCCACUUGUAUAAAUAAAGAUGGUUCAACCCCUUCCAUUAUACAGGGGAAAUUACACGAAACUUCUCUGAAUUUUGGGAUACUAUCAGUUUGCUACUGAUUUUUCAACUGUUAACCUCUAAACUUUUAUUUUGUUCCCGCAGUUCGUUAUAUUUUUAUUAGCAUGUGCAGGGUACGUAAAUUUUAAGGAGUAAAAGCAUAUUUUCAUCUCAUUCUUACCUUAAAAGAAGCCUCUCUUUUACCCUUAAUUGAUGUAAAAAACUGAAAAAUAUAGAAAAUGGAAGAGAAAUAAAACUAACUAAAAUACUAAUAAUAAAAAUAAUAAAUAUCAAUAAUUAUAUUGAACGAUAAGAAUUUUUCAAAAUUAAUUAAGUGUAGCCACCUUUAUAUAACUAAAUAAGAUAUCUAAAAAGUUACAAAUUUAUUAAAAAGGAAAAGGCAUCAAUAACUAAAAGAUCAAAUAACAAAAUCUGGUUAAUCGCUAUGCAUCAAAUAACAAAAUUUGGUUAAUCGCUUUGUAUGUUUAAAGGAUAACAUAAUGUAAAAACGACUGAUUAUAUAUAAUAUAUAUAUAAGGAUAACGAUCAAUCCCUUGCAAAAUGAAUUCCUUUGACCCCUUGAGUUAAAAAAAGCCAUACGAAAUUUACUAAAUCACUUUAGUUUUUAAAUAAGUUUUCAAAUUGAAACCUCUUUGGAUGCAACGGAACACAUAACUUUGCUUCAGUUUUGGCUCAUACACUAGUUUUAAGGUUCAAACCAUGUUGUAUAGUGAGGUAAUGCUUUCCUUAAGAAAGCUAAUCUCGCCGACUGAUCUGAAAUAGUAACUUAUACUAUUUUGCUGAUCUUACGUAUUUGCUUUCACGAGUCUGAGCUUGUAUUAUCGUCGCACCCUUCCCAAAAUGUGUUGGACCACCUAGAGUUCAGCUAAUGAAUUUGUAAGUCUAGACUUAAUUCAGUUUCUCCUAAAUCUAUACUAAUUCUCACAAACCUAUACUAAUUUGUAACUUAGGAUUCAAGUUGUUAACAUUCAAGUUGUCUUAGCAUGAUAUCAGAUUGACAAUUAUGGCAUGUUAUGAAAUUAGGGAAUAAUCCCUAAUUUGAAAGGAUACUCAAGGAAUUUUGGAUAAGAUAACAUCGUUCGGAAAUUCAAUCAAGAAUGCGAUAUUUCAAACGAGGUAACAAAAUAUUCGAGAAUUAAUGUGGGUAAGUUUUUUACCUAAUUUGAUUACUUGUUUCCAAGUUCAGACGAGUGACGGACCUCGAGAAUCACGGACCCACAAACGACGACAGUUCACGGACUGCGGUCGGAAGUUCUAGCGGUGAACGUGCCCGGCGGUGGAUGGUUCACGACGGAGUAGAACUCUCGGUGAUGUCCCAACAAGUUAGACUUCACUUGGACGUGUAUCUCGAGUCAACAUUGGGCAAGCCUUGGGUGAACCUAAAAACAGAACCUGGUGUGGCGAGAGUAAGGAGACGACAAGCCUUGGCGUCGAACGAAACUGAGAUAAACUGGGUUAUCAGCUACCGGUUCCGGCGUCGAGAUGGGCUGAACGUAGCGGCACUUUUCGGGCAGUGGUCGGAUGCAACUGGACUCGCUGGACAGGAAGCAGCGAGCAAGGAGGACUCGGGCAGGACGCGGAUACGAUGGACAGCGAACUGGAAGGCGGCACCGUCGUCGAGCGAAAGCAGCAACAGUUCGCAGGAUGGCUCGUACUUGAAGGAUCGUAGCAAGGACCGUCGUCGUAAGCUCGCGGCUCGUCGUCGGUGUAGCAAGAAGAGGCUUCGGAUCUGCUGGUCGUUGGAGCAGGCAGGGAGCGCCGGGACAGAGAAAGUAGCGUCACGGUGGUCGUGGUGUUUGCUGGUGGUGCCGCUACUGUGAAGGUGUCGCAGUAGAUAUAAUUUAGGAUUUUUAUUCCUGCUUUUACAUCGAAGCUGGGUGAAAGAAGAAGCUUCGAGGAAGCUUCGCGCUAAAAUGUCGUGCGUCCUGUAUUGGAAAUUUGUAUUUUUGUUUAAAUUUUUUUUUAGAAUAUAUUUUAGGAUUUAAAUAAUAGACGGCUCGUUGUCACGGGUGGGUCAAUUGAUUGACCUAAUUUAAAUUCAUGCGCGAACUUCUAUUUUGUUCAAGCAAUUAACUCUUCGUUAUAUUUUUAUUAGCACGUGUAAUGCAUGUGACUUUUAAGGGGUAAAAGUAUAUUUUCAUCUCCUUUUUUUAAAGGAAGCCUCUCUUUUACCCUUAAUUGAUAUAAAAAAACUGAAAAAUAUAGAAAAUGGAAGAGAAAUAAAUUAACUAAAAUACUAAUAAUCAAAAUAAUAUAUAUCUAUAAUCAUAUUGAAUGAAAAGAAUUUUGCAAAAUUCCAAAAAUAUAGCCACCUUAUUAUAACUAAACAAGAUAUUUUAAAAAUUAAAUACAAUUUUUUUUAGAAAGAGAAAAGGCUUCAAUAACUAAAACAUCAAAUAACAAAAUCUGCUUCAUCGCCAUGUAUGUUUAAAGGGUAAAUUACUGUAAAAAUGAUUGAUUAACAAAAAUAUUUAUAAGGAGAGCGAUCAAUCCCUUGCAAAUUCUAUCCCUUCAGGAGGCAUUAUAUAUGUGUGUGUGUGUGUGUGUGUGUGUGUGUGUGUGUGUGUGGGGACAGUUUUAGUGAUGGGCAUCUCAAAUUAAAAAACGCCCUUUGCAUUGAUAGUUAUCCGAAAUUUUCUAAAUCAUUUUGGUUUUUAGAUAAAGUUUACAAAUUGGAACCUUCUCGGAUCCAAUGGCACACAUAACUUGCUUCAAUUUCGGUCCGUACACUAGUUUUUAGGUCCCAACCACAUUGUAUAAUGAGGUAUCGCUUUUUUGAGAAAGCUACUCUCACUAACUCAUCAAAAAUAGUAACUUGGGGAGCGUUUGGUAACGUUUAUGUUCCAAGGAAUAAUUUUUGAAUAGAAAUAGUUUUUUUUUUCCAAGAAACAAUUUCUUAAUAUAAGAACGCGUUUGGUAACUACAAAAAAUUUAUACUUUAGGAAUAGAAAUGCAUUUGGUAACUUGUAUAAUUUUUUUUAUUUCUUUUAAUCUUUCAAUAUUUUUAUUAUAUUUUUCUUUUUUCUUUUUUCUUUCUUCCUUUUGGCUGGUCGCCGGCCUCAACCAUGGCCGACGAGGGCCGGCGACCUUGCCGGCCCCCGUGACCUCGCUUGGCCACUAAGGCCACCGGCAAGGCUUGGCCUUGCCCAUGUGGCGCAAGCUCAGUCUCGCCAAGGGCCGGCGACACCCAUAAGGAAGAAGAAAGAAAGAAAAAAAAAAGUGUUUCUCGGAAUUAUUCUUGGAAACAAGAAACAUGUUUUUUCUACUUCUUAUUUAUGUUCCAAAUCUGUUCCCGAAAAUAAAUAAAUAAAAAUAGAUUUUUUGUUUCCGAAAACAAAAUUGUAAACAAACGCGUUUCUGUUUUUUUUUUGUUCCUCGAAACAAAAGAACAUAAAUUUGUAUUCCGAGGAACAUAAACAAAAAUAAACAAACAGGCACUUGUACUAUUUUGCUGGUCCUGUGUGAUUGCUUUUGUGAAUUUAGGCUCGUAUUAAUCGUUGUCCUUCUUGUACAGUCCUUGGCCUUAUAUUUCUUAUUCGAAUGCUAGACGCAUCAAAGAGCAACCAAAAGCAUCCCAUCCAUGAAUCAAAUAGAUGAACUCAUCUUCUAGUGGAGUUUUUCCCCAAAUUAACAAUAUGAACACCUUGACAUGUUCAUAACUAUUGAGAUCAUGCCUCAAUUUUCAGUUUCCACUUCACGCUCUUAUUGCAAGAUUUCGAACAACCACAUUACUCUACUCGAUUGGAUUUAUAUCAUAACAUUGUGAGUGAGCCAGCUUCAUAUUCAAACUAAGUAGAUCACCGAAUCAAUAUGCAAUUCACCACCUCAAUCAAAGAUUGGACAUGUUAUUAUAAUAAACCACUAGGAUGUCGUGGAAUAAUGCAUACUAUAUGCUAAUCACUAGGAGUGAGAAAACGGAUGAUGAACCCAUUUUAUAGUUCAAAUCAUUGACCUGCUAACAACAUGAGUUGUUAGCUAUCUGUGGAGGUCUAAAACUUUCAAUUUUUUUUUUCCUCCAACCACUCUUAUAGGUGGUGGGUUACAACAAACACCAGCAUCACCUAUGCUCGUAAGAGUGGAAGAAAUUCUCUCGCAAACCAGGACUUAUUUGUAAAACUUCGAAUGAUGGAGAGUGCGUACUUAUUGAGUAAAAGUGCACACCUUUUUCAACAGAAUUGGAAAAAAAAUAUUGCUAGCAAUCAUAAAUGAAAAGUGCCAAAGUAAAAUCUGUUACGGAAACGACAAAAGCACGUCAUUUUACAAAUCCCCAUUGAGAAUCCACAGAAAAAAUUGAAAAUGUGGUCUCGAAUCAUUUAUCAAAUGCUGCUUUCAAAAAAUGAAAAUCAUUUAUAAAAUGGUGACCAGAAGAAUCAUUUAUCAAGCAAACUAUCCAAAUUAUAUACCCCACCGGUUUGUUGACUAGUAGAAUAAAACCAUUUCUUGUGGACCUCGACCCCUCAUUCACGGUGAAAGUGGCCCGAGGGAAUCCGAGGAAAACUUUGUGAAGGGGGUGACAAUGAAGAGGAAAUAAAGCAAAAAGGCCAAAGGUGGGUGGGUCAUCGUAACGUAGAAAAGAAGAACCACCCAUGCCUUUUAGCACGUGCCUUUGUGUUGUCGGCACGAUUUUAGUCAAAAGAUUUCCUCAUGGAAAAAAAUCAUCGCAAUGCUUCACGGUGGCAAGAAAUUAGUCAUUAUUGAUCCUUUGCCCCUUUAUUUUUCCGUUCUACAAGGACUUUCUUUUCAUGGUUAAAUCUAUGAAAGUCCGUCACGUUAAUCCCAUCGCACUGUUCCGAUUACAAUUCAAUCACUCCUUAAAAGUAAAAAUAAAAAAUGAAUCUAGGUUAGAGCUCAAACAUUGGCACAACCCGUUAUUGCUAUCGGACCCGGCCUAGCACAAUCCUUAACUUUGAGGGUUCGCCAAGCUCAAGCACAAAAGAGUAUUUAUGUCACAAUAGAUAUAAUUUAGGAUUUUUAUUUCUGCUUUUGCAUCAAAGUUGGCUGGGAGAUGAAGCUUCGAGGAAGCUUUGCGCCAAAAUGUCUUGCGUCUUGUAUUGGAAAUUUGUCUUUUCAUUUAAACUUUUUUUUUUGUGAAUAUAUUUUGAGGAUUUAAAUGAUACAUGGUCGGUUGUCCUAGGUGGGUCAAUCAAUUGACGACUCAACCUCCUAAUGGGAAAUUGUAAAAAAUUAUCCUGGCAUGGCAGUGUCGAGGAGGGGGACGGUCCCUUUCGUCCCCCUAAAACUGGCCGUGUUCGUAGAGGCCGACCUGAGGUUUUUCCACACAACAUGAUGUAAUUGAUAGGAGUGUGCAGCAAGGACCUUAGACAAAACGCCACUUGAUUCCAUGGGAUGUCCCUGGCGAAUUGGUGAGUGAUCCCAUUUCUAAAGCAGAGAUGACACCCUUUUUAGGCCCAUGACGGAUUCUAGGAGUUCAGAAUCGGCGAUCAGACUAGCCUAUUAUAGAAUAGACCGGUAUCUAUUGACCGACAUUUUUCUUUUUUCUCGAAACUUCUAACUUGAAAUUUUUAUCAAACCUAAUAUUCUAAAUAAUAAUGCAGCAUUAAAUAAUGAAAUAUCGGAUUUCCAUUAAUAUUGAUGAAUUUUGCAAAGUCAAGUCAAUUUUUGCUCCAAAGAGUUUGAAUCUUAAGCCCUGUUGAUCCAAAAUAGUCGAUUCCAUCACAGGACCGGUUUGAUGACAUUAUAAAACCAUUUCUUGGGGGACCUCGACCCGCCGUUGACGGCGGAACUAGUCCGAGAGAAUCCGAGGAAAAUUUUGUGAAUAAGCAAAAGUGAUAAUGAAAAGGAGAUAAUGCCAAAAAGCAAAGAAAAAGAAGGAGGAUGGGGUCAUCCUAACAUGGAAAAGUAGUCCCCUCAAUGCUUUUUAGCGUGCUUUUUAUGUUGUCAGCAAUGCUAGUCAAAAAGAUCCUCUCAAGUGAAAAAUCACGACAAUGUUUUGUGGUGGGUACAAAUUUUGUCAUCAUUGCUCCUUUGCCCUGUCUUUUCCCGUACCACAAAGAGUUUCUUUUCAAAAUUAAAUUUAUGAAAAAUUCGUCACGUAGAUCCUAUCAAGCAAAUCAUUUAUUAAAUGGUGGCCAGAAGAAUCAUUAUAAAGCAAACUGUUAAGAUAAUUGACCCACCGGUUUGAUGACUAGUAGCAAAAAACCAUUUCUUGUGGAACUCGACCCGUCAUUCACGGCAAAGUGGCCCGAGGGAAUCCGACAAAUACUCUGAAGAAGCAAAGUGAUAAUGAAAAGGAAAUAAAAGCCAAAAAAGCAAAAGAUAAAAAAAAAGGUGGGUCCUCUUAUUGUGGAAAAAAGACCCGCCAAUGCUUUUCAACGUGCUUUUCUGCUGUCGCCAAGAUUUUAGUCAAAAGAUUUCCUCAAGCAAAAAAUCAUGACAAGAAGUUAUUCAUUAUUGCUCCUGUGCCCCUCUUUUUCUGUGCCUCGUUAAUCCUAUCGCUCUUGUUCCAAUUACAAUUCAAUCACUCCUCAAAAGUUAAAAAAAUUAAUACCACAAAAAGACUUUAAAUUGAUACAUAUAUAACAAAUAUUAUUAUAAAUUAACUUUUUUAUUAUGAAAAAUCCGAAACUAAUAAAUUUAUGACAAAUUUAUUCUAAACUAAUUUUUGACAACAAAAACCUCAAACUAAUAUACAAAAAAAAAUUAAUUUAUUAACCACUAAAAAUCUUAAAAUGAUAUACUUGUUUGGAAAUUUUGCUGUCAAAUUGUUUAGUUAGAUGAUACGUGACAAUUUUGAGUUUUAUCCUCAAAUUAUCAUAGGUGUAUUGAUUUUGUGAUUUUUCAUGGUAUUAAUCAAAUUUAAUGAAAUGUAUAUUUGUCACAAAUGUAUAAAUUUGGGAUUUUUUGUGGUCAAAAAAUUAAUUUGAAGUAAAUUUAUCACAAGUGUACCGAUUUGAGGUUUUUUAUGAUUAAAAAAUUAAUAUGAGAUAAAUUUGUUAUAUAUAUACCAAUUUGAGAAUUUUUCAUGACAUUAACCCAAAUACAAAUAAUGAAUGAACCUAAGUUAUAACUCGAACAUUGGCACAACUCGUUAUUGCUAGCUAGCUUGGCUUGGCACGACACCUAACUAUGAGGGGUUGUGCCAAGCUCGAGCCCAAGAGGGAGUUGGUGUCACAUUAGAUAUAAUUUUGGAUUUUAAAUAACGCAAGAAAAAGUUUAAGGUAUUGAUGUCACAAUGGUCCUAAUUGAAAGUUUUUAAUGGUAUAAACCCAAGUCAAAAUAGAUUCCACAGCUUCAAGUUCCUACAUUUCGAUAUGUAUAUAUUCUUGUUGACAAAGUGCUUAAAAUAUUUAAGAACUAAUCAAACUUUUAGGUGUCAAGUAUUAACCAUCCUUAUAGCGGACUUAAAUCGGUGUGGAGUGCACCUCCAUAGUUGUGCCAACCAUUGAUUGGAAUGUGUCUAGUUGUUCUCCUCUUACUCAAGUUUUGUGGUGAUGGUCCAUUUGCACUUUAAGUCAUGGCUAGUAUGAAUGACGAUCAAAUAGUACGUAGAAUCAUAUUCCUGGAGAUAUAGAAUCUUCUCCACUAACCAAUAUUUUAAGACGACGUUUGGCUUGCCUAAAAAUAUUAUUCUUAUUAUUUUAUCAAUGAUCACCUAUGCCACAAAAUUAUGUCACUAAUGCGUGUCAAGGAUCAUAUAUAUAUAUAUAUAUAUAUAUAUAUAUAUUCUUCUUUGUUUUAUGCAAAGAAGUUCUUUGCUUUAGUUCUUCCCUUAGUUUCCCCUUCAAAUCCCAGAAGGAAAUCAAAGUGUCUUCUCUCUUUUGCUCCUACUUUAUUCUUGAAAACAUCAAACAGCAAUGAAACUAUUAUGUACUGCCGUUUUGUAGAUAUGGUAAGAUUUUCUUUUGUUAUGGUAAAAGACAUGGUAAGUUAUGCCCAUAAAUGCUGCCAAAAUGUAUCUUCUUGCAAGUCUUCAUCUAAAUCAGAAAUAGUAGUUUCAUUGGUCUUAGUUUGAGGGGUUUGCAUCUAAAGUCUUUGGAUAUGAAUUGAUCUACUGUGCUCACUCAUCAAAUCUAGAUAUGGACAUCAUCCUGUGAUAUCUAAAUUAACUUGAUAAAGUUGAAAGUUGAAGACACUUUGCGAAAAAAUUAAGAUUUCAUGGUAUUUUAAUACAAAAAUGAAAGAUUAUAUUCCACGCGAUAAAGUUGAAAGUUCAUGACAUUUUUAAUAUUGAUAAUAAGUGGAAAGUUGAAGAUUCUCUAGAAAUUACGCUAAAGAGAAUUGGAAGAUUUAUUUUUCCAAAAUAUUAUUUUUUUAAAAGAAAAUGAGAAUUGUCUAGAUCUCCAUGCUUGUAUUAUAUAUAUGUUCACAAAUCUAUCUAUGCAUUGGCUAAAUGUUAAAUUAUGAUUUGGUCAUAUUACUUAAUAUUGAUUUUAGUAUACUUACUAACGUUACUCAUAAAUAAACCAGAACUUUUUUUUGUCAAACUUCAAAUGAUAAAGAGUGCAUUCUUGCUGCGUAGAAUUUUACAUCUUUUUUUUUAAACUGAAUUGAAAAAGAAAAAUCCACAUAUUGCUAGCAAUUUUAAUAUAAAAAACGCCAUUAAUUAGAAUACUUUACAUGAAUCAGCGAAAGCACAUCAUCUCACAAAUUCCCAUUGAGGAUCCAUGGAAAAUAUUGAAAUUGUGGUCUUGAAUCAUUUAUCAAACGCUGCUGGCCAAUAAAGAAAAUGGUUAAUAGCACGAAAAACUCCACACUGAUAUAUGUGUGAUAAAUUUACUCAAAAUUAAUUUUUUUAACCACAAAAAAAUCCUAAACUAGUACAUUAGUGAUAAACUUAUUAUCUGUUAAGUUUUACCAUCAAAUUACUAAGUUUGAUGACAUGUGGUAAUUAACGAAUGUACCAGUUUGGGUGUGUGUUGGUUUAUGACUUUUUGUAAUAUUAAUCCGAUUUAAUGGAAAUUAAUAGAGAGUAAAUUUAUCAUAAAAUAUUAAUUUGGGUUUUUUUGUCAAUAAAUUAAUUUGUGGUAAAUUUAUUACAGAUAUAUCAUUUUAUGAUUUUUUAUGAUAAAAAAUUAGUAUGAAAUAAAUUUUCAUAAAUAUAUCGAUUUGACGUUUUCUGUGAAAUAUACUCUAAAGAAAAUCAUUUGUCAAAUUGUGGCCAGAAGAACUUAUCAAGCAAAAUAUCAAAAUAAUUAACCACAUCGAGCGUCUUGGACUGCGUUGAAAAAAAAAAAAAAGAGAGGAGAGGAUUUUCCUGCCUUCGCAUCGAAGCUGAGUGGGAGACGAAGCUUCGCGCCAAAAUGUCGUGCGUCCCUCCACGUUAGAUUUCCUCGCUUUUUUAAUCGGGGGUAUCCCGCUGUAAAAUUUGUCUUUUCGUUUAAUUUUUUUUUGUAAGUAUAUUUUAGGAUUUAAAUAAUACAAGGUUCGUUGUCAUCGGUGGGUCAAUUGAUUGACCUAAAGUAUCCAUGCGCGAAGAAUUGACGUCUCAACCACCUAAUGGGAAAGUGGCCGUGUUUAUAGAGGCCGACUCGAGAUUUUUCCACCCGAGACAUGUUGACGCGACAUAAGGUAAUUGAUAAGAGCAUAUAGUGAAAACCUUAGAUAAAGGCCACUUAAUUCUAGAGGCGUGCCUCGCGAAUCGAUGAGCCUGGAUUUUAAAGCUGAGAUGAGACCCUUUUUGGGCCCGUUACGAAUUUUAAGAGUUUGAAUUUAGUGAUCAGACUAGUCUCUCGUAGAACACACCGGUACCUAAAUAUUGAUAUUUCUUUUUUUCUUGCAACUUCUAACUUGAAAUUUCUAUCGAACCUAAUAUUCUAAAUAAUAACACUGCAUUAAAUAAUGAAAUAUCGGAUUUCCAUUAAUAUUGAUAAAUUUUACAAAGUCAAAUCAAUUUUUGCUCCAAAAAGUUUGUAUCUUAGGUCCUAUUGAUCCAAAAUAGUCGAUUCUACCACAGGACCGGUUUGAUGACAGCAUAAAACCAUUUCUCGGGGACCUCGACUUGUCGUCGUUCACGGCGAAACUGGCACGAGAGAAUCCGAGGAAAAUUCUGCGAAAAAGCAAAAGUGACGAUGAAAAGGAAAUAAAGCAAAAAAGCAAAGAAAAAGAUGGUGGGUGGGCACCCUAAUGUGGAAAAGAAGUCCCGCCAAUACUUUUUAGCGCGCGUUUGUCGGCAAAGUUUUAGUCAAAAGAUUCCCUUAGGGAACCUCAAGGAAAAAACCAUGGCAAUACUUUGUUGGGCUACAAAUUUUUUCAUCAUUGCUCCUUUGCCCUGUCUUUUCCCGUACUGCAAAGAGUUUCUUUUCAAAGUUAAAUUUUAUGAAAGUUCGUCACUUAGAUCCUAUCACUCUUGUUCCGAUUACAAUUCAUCAAGCUAGAGCCCAAAUAUUGGCACAGCCCGUUAUUGCCCGGGCCUGGGACGACCCCUUGUGCCGAGCUAAAGCCCAAGACUAAGAGGGCCGGCUCGUGUGGACCGGCACCACUCAAUCACCAUGUUUAGAUAGGGGUUUAUUAAUAUACAUGUCAGGAAAAGCAAAAUGCUGAAAUUCAAGCAUUUUGCAAAUUUUGGCCUUUCGAAACUAAAGAGUUUGAAAAAUAAUGCAUGAGGAUAAUGAAUCAAGUUCAGAUUUUGUGGGAGUAGGGGAAUUUUCGAUGUGCAAUUGCCGGUGUAGUACAGAGACUAAAGUUAUGGUCUUGGUAAUGAAUAAAGAAUACAUGAUGCGAAGUACUUCAUUAGAAAAUAAACAAAGAGAAAAAAUAUAUUCUAGAAUUUGAUGGAGAAUUAAGAACGUUAGCUCUGAUCUUGAAGUCAAAUUGUCCGUGGAAAAUCAGCAACAUUAUACAAUCAUGGCCAGCAAGCAUGAUGACCUCCGCAUGAGUAAUUUCCCAUUUCUUUUUCCCCUUUUUAAACUUUUCCUUUUAGGUUCUCUCAGUUUGAUUAUCAAAGCCACCACAUGACAGUCUCAAAUAUUGAUAAAACUAAGGCAAGGCAUCAAUAGUGCUCGACAUUGUCGAAGACUAAGGAAUGCCGACGAACACCGAUUGAGUUUAGUCGAAGGCUCACUUGUGUAAAUAAAGAUGGUUCGACCCCUUCCACUAUACAUGGGUAAAUUAUGCACAACUUCUUUGAAUUUUGGGUAACACAAGUUUGCCUCCAAUUUUUCAAUUGUUAUACAAUAACCUCUAAAGUUUUAUUUGGUUCAAGCCACUAACUCUUCAUCAUAUUCUUAUUAGCAUGCACAAUGCUUGUGAAUUUUAAAGGGGCAAAAGUAUAAUUUUAUCUCAUUCUCUUUUAAGGAAGCCUCUUUUUUUACCCUUAAUUGAUGUAAAAGACUGAAAUACCAAUAAUCAAAAUAAUAAUUAUCAAUAAUCAUAUUGAAUGAUGAGAAUUUUUCAAAAUUAAAUAAAUAUAGCCAUCUUAAUAUAACUAAAUAAGACAUUUUAAAAAAUAAAUACAAAUUUAUUAGAAAGGGUAAAAGGCAUCAAUAACCAAAAGAUCAAAUAACAAAAAUUGCUUAAUCACUAUGUAUGUUUAAGGGUAAAUUACCAUAAAAAUGAUUGAUUAACGAAAAUAUUUACGAGGAGAACAAUCAAUCCCUUGCAAAAUCUAUCCCUUUAAGAGGCAAUCCUCCAAGAAGAGCUUCUAGCAUAUUGAAUAAAAACGCCCUUUGCAUUGAUAAUUGUUUAAAAUUUUCUAGAUCAUUUUGGUUUUUAGAUAAGUUUUCAAAUUGGAACCUCCUCAGAUGCAGCAGCACACAAAACUCGCUUCAGUUUUGGCUCAAACACUAGUUUUUAGGUCCGCACCAUAUUGUGUAAGGAGGCAUAGCUUUCUUUGAGAAAGCUACUCCCACUGAAUUAUCUUAAAUAGUAACUUGUGCCAUUUUGCUGGUCCCAUGUUCUUGCGUUUUUGAGUUUGGGCUUGUAUUAUAUCUUUCCUUCUUAGACAGUCCUUUGCCUUAUAUUUCUUAUUCAAUUGUUAUACACAUCAAAGAGCAACCAAAAGCAUCCGAUCCAUUAAUUAAACGUAUGAACUCAUAUUCUAGUGGAGUUAUUAAUCAAAUUUACGAUAUCAAUGCUUUGACGCGUCCGUACCUAUUGGGAUCAUGCCUCAAUUUUCAGUUUACGCUUCACACUCUUAUGGUAGGAUUUCGGACAACCACCUUACACUACUCGAUUUGAUUAAUAUCAAAGCACUCUAAGUGAGUCAGCUUCAUUACUAAACUAAGUAGAUCACCGAAUCAAUAAGCAAUUCACCACCUCAAUCAAAGAUUAAACAUGCUAUUAUAAUGAACCACGCGGAUGUCAUGGAAUAUCGAGUGUAGAAAUAUGAGAAGCCAAACUUGUAUUCUAACUAAACAUCUCAACUUUUCCAUCAAAGUCACCAAGGAACCACAUAAUGUAAGAUCCAUUAUUAGUGUGAGCCCAUUACAAUUUGUGGCCCGACAAAAAUUGAUGGACACCCGGCUUCACAGCCUUGAGUAAGGACAUUCAUGAAAAUCACAAUUUAGUCCUAGCCGCAUGGAAAACUGGUGAUGUUUUCCCGCAGUGGAUCCAAACCUGUAGAACAGCAAACAUCUUUCAGCAAAAAACUCUCACCGGCGAAUGUUCUCUCACGAAUUUUUGUUGGCAAGGCAAGACUGUCACGUCAUUUCUCGAUCAAAUAGAAACUGCAUAUCGCCAUUUCCGCCGCCUUCAAAUUAUACACUCUGCAAUGCACGCAUAAAAACCGUUCAAUCUCAGAGCUUUACCUCAAAGCAGAAAGGAGAGUCAUGACGCGUCGCUCCUUCCAUGCAAUGGUUGUUUUUCAGCAAGAUUGAAUAGCAGCAACCCGUACAGCAUGACAAUAAGCGAAGGAGAUUAACUUCAGUUCUUUCCAUCGCUAUUUAUGCUGGCCUAAGCUCGGGAUAACUGAAGCUUACCGCAUUCUCUCGCCCCACAAUUCUGAGAAAGAAAAUACAGUUAGACAUGUAUCAAACGUGCAACAUCAUCAACGACAAAGAAAUGAUGAGAGCGACAUCCCGAAGCGGGGAACUCUGUAUAAAUUAAAAUUAAAAUACCUAAAAGGAAACCAAUAAUCUUCUCCGAGGGUGAUGAUUGACAGAAAAUGAGAUGCAUCUAGGAAUUUUAUCUAACAUCCUCGAACUAUUAGUUCAGGUCAUAAACUCAUACCAUAUCUAAUCAUCUAGCUAUUAUAUGUGAAAAAAUUUGGAGUGAUCUUUAAGCAUGACGUUUUCAUAAUCGCUUCGACACUAUUGCGUAUCACUGCUAAUGGUGGCCAUACCUGCAAAUGCCACAUCCAUUGCAGCUAUUCUGCUUCCUGGAUGUCCGAAGAAAAAAUCAAGUAAGAUGUCAGGUCCUCUUGAUCAUAUCGUCUUCAAGUGCAGGAUACAACACCCAACACUUUUGAGAAUCUGUAAAAUGCAAUUAACGAACUUUUCUUCUUUCACAUGGUUGCACGUUAUGCAGCAUUUCUACGGUCAAGGUUUUGAAAUAUUUGCUAGGGGAAGAGGGCAGACAGAGACUACUUCCCACAUAUAGAGACACUCGACCAAUGUCACUGUCCGAGACACAUGAAAGAAAUUGAGCAGCGAGAUAAGAAAGAUUUGAUGCAAAUCAUCAUCGAAGAACUUACAAGUCCAACAAAAGUACUUCCCCAUGCAAACACCACCUGUGAACAUGGAAACCAAAGGUUGAGAAUCAACAUCUGCACUGUAGUUUAUUUUUGGCCAAUCUUUUUAAACAACUUCACAUUUUUUGCCCUCCUUCGAAAAGCUCUUUAGUGCAAUCAAAGCGGGUAAUGAAGGAUAGAAUGUUUAAAAUUACCUCUUGAGCACUAUCACAGAUUGAACUUACAACCUGAAACAAAACAUGUAGGUAAGUGGGAACAUCAAGUAAUUAGUCGGUCUAUAAACAUGCUAGAAAUUUGAUAGCAUCCAUCCGCUGAACUUGAUAGCAAGGCGAGUCAAUGCCCUGCUUUUGUUUGCAUUGAUACGUUAUUCUGGUCAUAAGAGAACGGUGUUUCUUCUUAGGAAAAGCAUGUCCACAGGUUGAAGAUUGAAGAAUCGAAUAUUUGACAUAUUCACCAAACUGUGGACUACUCAUCCGAACUCAAAGGACAUGGCGACUUCCGCACAUAUCCAUCAUGCAGUAAUGGCGGACUGCACAUACCAAAAUAUUAGAGCACACAUUACAAAAUUAACAACAUGUCAGAACGCAAUCUCAUCUUAAGAUAACUCAUGCCACUAGCACCCAAAAUUUAGAGGCAGCUGCAGCGGUGCCUAUACUUUGGUUAACGAUAAUCCUCUAAAAUAUGGCAAAUAAAAACUUAAUUGCAAUCUAUGGACUGAGCUUGCACGAAAGUAUCUCAGAUAUCUAGUUAGUUCUUCAUGUCAUAACAAAAGGAAGUUCUCAAGCACACUUAAGUCUAUGAGGGGCACAAGGGAUCACCUUUGCAUCAUCAUGUCAGUGAAGGCAAUAAAAAAUGUCGUCGCAACAGGGGGCUCUAAUGCGGCCCCUCAACAGUAAUGAGGACAUCUGCCGCAGCAGCAGCAGCGUCUUUGAUAUUAACUGAAAGUUGAGAAGGACAAAGCUUGAACUACUAUUGCUCAAGAAUGAGUCGAGACGUUACUUGUACGGCAAGUACCGCUCGCUAACAAAUCAGUAGCAAUAGCAUCUUCACGGUCAGAACAGAGCACGGUCGGAAACACGAUUGGACAGUGCUGGAAUUGUAACAACAGGAGGGAACCAAGUGGCGGCCGAUGAGGAGGAACAGCGAUGUUAAUUAUGAGCCAGAAGUGGUGGUGAUCGCCUGAUCGGAAAUGGAGCGGCCGUGGAACUAGAGGGAAAGCGGGACUGGGAGAACGUUUCUCUGUUUUCAGUUCCCCCUCUUGCGCGCGCACGUGCCUUCGUUCGGGGGAAGAGAGAGAGAGAGAGAGAGAGAGAGAGAGAUAAAAGUAAGGAAGGAAAGAGGGCGGGCCUUCUCUCGGCAUGGGCGUUGGACCUCGGAUGGGCUCCAUUUUUCAGCUCCUUUCUGUUGCUGAGUCUUAUUCGAUGGGCUAUUGGACAAAUCUAAAGAGAUCUGGGCUCAAGUCCGAUAUUGUCCGGCGGGGAGCUCGAGUUGUGGAUCUGGGCUGAGGUCUUAUUAGUCCUCUCCUUUAAAAAAAAAAAGUUGUUAACUUUAUUUAUCUUUACAAAACUGCAGAUUCAAUUUGCUAGCAAAAAUUUGGGAGUCAACAUCCACGUUGCCAACUCUGUUGAUUGUAUAUAUACGCUCAUCCUGUUUCCAAUGACCAUAAUUGGUUCUGUCAAAGUAUGGAGAUCUGGUGGUAGAUUGACCCUCAUAAAAAAAAAUUGGACUAAGGUUGGUAGACAUAGAAUAGGAUCUUUAUAAUCAGAAGUAAACAAUACUUAAAAGUACAAGAAACGCAAUAUUUAGGCUAUGUUCAUUUCAUGGAAAAUAACUUCUAAAAAAAUGUUUUUAUUUUUUUAUUUUUUUUGUGUUCAUUUCACGAAAAAUGAUCUAAUCAAGAAAAACGUUUUCUACUAUGGGUAAAAAGCACAUUAAAAAAUGAGAAACAUUUUCCACUUUUGAAAAGUAGAAAAUAUUUUCCAUAACUUCUUCCAUCUCACUUUCUUUCACCAAACACAUUUUCAUUCCAUUUUUAUGUUUUCUUUUUAUUUUUUCCUUUUUACAUCGAUUUUUUAAUUUCUAUUUUCAUUUUUUCUUUUCUCUCUUUCCUUCUCUUCUUCUUCUUUGACCUUCGCAGGUUGAUGAAGAAGAAGAGAAAGAAAGAAAGAAACGGCAAAAAGAAAAAGAAAAAAAAUUAAACAUUAAAAAAUAGAUUUAAAAAAUGAAAUAAUGAAAAAAUUAUUGAAAAUGAGCACAUGCAGGAAAAGAUUUUUCUUACCGAAUGGUGAAAAAUAUUUUCUAGUUUAUUUUCAAAUUUCAGCCAAAUACAGGAAAAUAUGAUUAUUUUCCUAAAAAAUGACUUGCUAGAAAAUAAUUUUCAAAAACACCACAUUUUUCGAGGAAAAAAAAAACAAAGCCUCAAUACCAAUUAUUGAGGUCAACAAUGCAACCUAACGAAGGGGUGAAUGGGUUGAUUUACAAAAGUAAAAAAUAAUUUAUAAUAGCUCAGGUUAAGAAACGCAAAUUAAAUAAAACAAAAAGGAAAAGGCCUCGAUAACAAAAACUUCAAAUGAUAAUAUUUGAUCAUGCGUUAUGUAUAUAUAAAGGUUUAAUUAAUGUAAAAUGAUUGAUCUACAAAAAAUCUAGAAAGAACUUAUCAAUGAAAAUGAUGUCCUUAACUCAUAAAAGACGAAGAUGAAUCAAAAUCUAAGGUGAUUUUGUUAAAAAAUAUUUUUAUUGAUCAAUUUUAUCUUACAUUAAUUAACCAUUUAACAACACAAAAUGAGCAUCAAAUUUUUUUAUUUGAUUUUUAGUUGUUUGAGGCAAUUUUCCUUUCUACUUAAUUGCGUUUCUUUUUGUUCAAAAACCUACUAGUUCUAUUAAUAUAUCCAUGAAUUUUCUACCAACUUUUAUUAUCUAUAUUAUUAUUGAUAGUCAAAUUUUAUUGUAUUGAUAAUUUAGUUAACUUUUUUCUCAAUUUUCUGUAUUGUUUUUAUUUUUCUUAUAGAAAUCAACAGUAAAAGGCAUUCUUUUGAGAAAAAAUGAGAUGAAGAACAAGUUUACCCCUUUAACGUCAUCUACAUUGCACAUGUGAAUGGAGAAUAUAGUGAAAUGUUAACGGCUAUCACCAAAUAAAAGUUGAAGAAGUAACGUGUAACAGUCAAAAUUUUAUGUCAAACAUGUAUUUUCCUGAAGUUUGGAGCAAUUUUUGUAAAUUUUCCACAAAUUUAUUAUGCAAUGCCUAUUUUCUAAUAUAUUCAUAGGGAGAUUAGUGUGUAUUUAUGUAUGUUGGGUGUGGAAAUAUGAGAAGCCAAACUUAUUUUGUACAUAUUUUAGGUAUUUUAGGUAUAUUGGUAUAGUUUACUGUUUGAUAAAAUUUUAUUAAAGAAUGAUGGAAAGAAAAUAAAAAAAAAAAUUAAUUAAAAAAGAGAGGAAAAAUAAAAUAAAAAAUAAAUCAAAAUAAAGUACAUUGUCGCAAGAGAUUUUUACCAUCUUCAUUUAUAAACUUUUAGGUUCAUUUAUAUUGAGACGUCGUUUAUAUCAACCAAUAUAUAUAAUAUGAUAUGAAUAUAUCAAAUUUUAUACUUACGAUCACCAAAUGGUGGAUAAGAAAUGAUAAAAUCCCACGAUUUCAUAACCUAUCAUAUUUAAUCCUAGCCUAAUUAGAAAUACAGGUGACUAAACAUAACUAAAGAGGAUAGGGAGUUGGCAAGCCAAUUCGAGUUCAAUGAGCUGUGUUGAUGGGCCUUCGAAACCUAGUUCGCAGGUUGAUUAGCUUCCCUGGGUCAAAAGGCUGGAGACAUUCGUUGCAUUUGGGCCAUAAGAUGCUGACAAUUCUCAACAACAGACUGGACUACCCAUGGGCUUUCGGUUUGCCCCGAGAUAAGCUAUCACUUUCCAUCCUCACCUGAAGAUCUCCACUUUUCCUCCACAGAUCAGUUCCACCCUAUCUUCAACGAGAGCGCCAAGGCUUCUCUCACUGCUAGGAUUUCAGGCACGAGGGCAGUCGGAGCAUGGAUUUUCUUGGCGAAGCCGGCCACGAGAGCCCAUGAGCAUCUCUACACACCCCAACUACUGAACCCACUCAAGAGCGAGUGUUGUGCACUGAGGCAGCAAAGAACUCUCAUUAACCUCAUGCUUAAUGGCUUUGACCAAUCACCUUAUGCUAAGUGUUUAUGAGCAUUUCUUAUCUUUUCACAAAUACUAACACUCCCAUUAUUCGCAUGGAUAAUUGCUUUGACACUAUUGAGUCUUACUUCCAACGGUGGCUACACUAGCAAAUGCCACAUCCAUUGCAAUGAUACUGGUUGUAACAUAUUAUCGCAUAAGCUAUCAAGAAAUUAACGCGACAUUAUUAGAGAAAUAAAUGAGAAACAAUAAAGGACGCCAAAGAUUUACGUGGUUCAGUACCGAAUGUCGGUACCUACAUCCACGGAGAGAGCCGGCAACAGAUAAUUCAUUAAUAAUCGGAAAAUCUAAGUUUGCAGUCGCUCACAUGCUCGAAUGUUUCUCACGCUCAGGUCGGACUCAAAUUUAAAGUGUUUGCAAAAAUACUCACAACACCAAUCCACGGUGUGUAUAUCCCCCCGUUCACGGCCAAGCAACAAGCGCCCCAGUCUCUGAUUCUUCCUUUCGUUCUUCAUGCGGCGCUCCCCAGGAAAUCCCGGUGCGGCCAUUGUACUCUCUUCUUGUGCGACUACACUUUGCUGAAGGAACCCACUCCACGCUUCUCAAAGAAAGAAGCCACUGGCGGCCGUUCACACAACGAGGAACCCCUUUUGUCUUGCAGUGGCAGGGGACUUCUUUCCUCUCAUUCGUCCAACCUUCGGCAAAGGUGAGUCCAACUCUUCAAUUUUAUUGUGCUGUCAAACUUGGAUAUUUAUUCAAUCUGGUUGGAUUCCAUAAACGGCUCAUACUCGAGACAUAAUUUAAUGAUACCACUUGAAUGUCUGCAGAAAAAAAGAAAAAAAAGAGAGUAAGAUGUGAGGUCCAUGUAAUCAUAGUGUCCUGCUGCAGGAUAUGACACCUAACACUUAUGACAAUCUGUAUAAUGCAAAUAAAAAAAAUUCAUUUCUAACAUGAUUGCCCAUUGUUAAGCAUUUUUAUGCUUUUUGCUUACAUUGAUACUAUCCAGGGCAUAGGAGAAC
This 38855-nucleotide long non-coding RNA is filed under the name Eucalyptus grandis. RNAcentral describes it as "long non-coding RNA (EGRA_LNC001540)". The record is from RNAcentral. Lineage: Eukaryota; Viridiplantae; Streptophyta; Magnoliopsida; Myrtales; Myrtaceae.